RNAcentral lists this unclassified non-coding RNA (337 nucleotides) under soil metagenome. RNAcentral's name for it is "partial contains 5.8S ribosomal RNA, internal transcribed spacer 2, and large subunit ribosomal RNA". The stretch from base 1 to 120 matches the Rfam family "5.8S ribosomal RNA", at positions 35 to 154 of the family's 154-position model. The record is from RNAcentral.
GAUGAAGAACGUAGCGAAAUGCGAUAAGUAAUGUGAAUUGCAGAAUUCAGUGAAUCAUCGAAUCUUUGAACGCACAUUGCGCCCGCCAGUAUUCUGGCGGGCAUGCCUGUUCGAACAUCAUUUCAACCAUCAAGCCCCCGGGCUUGUGUUGGGGACCUGCGGCUGCCGCAGGCCCUGAAAAGCAGUGGCGGGCUCGCUGUCACACCGAGCGUAGUAGAUUUUAUCUCGCUCUGGGCGUGCUGCGGGUUCCGGCCGUUAAACCACCCUUUUAACCCAAGGUUGACCUCGGAUCAGGUAGGAAGACCCGCUGAACUUAAGCAUAUCAAUAAGCGGAGGA